RNAcentral lists this ribosomal RNA (460 nucleotides) under uncultured bacterium. RNAcentral's name for it is "partial 16S ribosomal RNA". It matches the Rfam family "Bacterial small subunit ribosomal RNA", at positions 338 to 795 of the family's 1533-position model. The record is from RNAcentral.
CCUACGAGGGGCAGCAGUGAGGAAUAUUGGUCAAUGGGCGGAAGCCUGAACCAGCCAAGUAGCGUGCAGGAUGAAGGCCCUAGGGGUUGUAAACAGAUUGUAUACGGGAAUAACGCGCCUUACGUGUAGGGCUUUGCAUGGACCGUAUGAAUAAGGACCGGCAAAUUCACGGCCAGCAGCAGCGGUAAUACUGAAGGUCCGGGCGUGAUGCGGAUUUCGUGGGUGUAAAGGGCGCGUAGGCCGCAUGGCCAGCAUGCUGUGAAAUGUCCGGGCUCAACCCGGGGCGUGAAGCGCGAACUGGCGGGCUUGAGUCCGCGAGAGGCAGGUGGAAUUCGUGGUGUAGCGGUGAAAUGCUUAGAUAUGACGAGGAACACCGAUUGCGAAGGCAGCUUGCUGCAGCGGAACUGACGCUGAUGCUCGAAAGCGCGGGUAGCGAACAGGAUUAGAUACCCCGGUAGUC